Molecule: long non-coding RNA, 789 nt
Filed under: Homo sapiens (human)
Lineage: Eukaryota; Metazoa; Chordata; Mammalia; Primates; Hominidae
Description: HSALNT0136812
Source: RNAcentral
CAAAAAUAAGGGAAGUCUGAAAACCUGUCACAGCAGAGGAAUGAUGGAACUGAGUGUAGCAAAGACACUCAGGUUUCUGAAGCUCCAGGAAUUCACUUAUAAAGAGACAGAAAGUUGAUAAUGGAUCCAACAGUGGAUUAGAAGCCCAAGGAGUCACAGACAGGAUGAAUCCUCAUUCAUUCUUAAACUCUCUUCUAAAGGACAUCUGGGGUUCCACUUACAUGUAUGUUAGACCAUUUGACACCUCCUCAUGGAGCUUGGAGGCUUUAUUCAUUUUCCCACAUUUUUGUUUGUUUGUUUGUUGUUUUUUUCUUUGUCUUUUUUUUAACCUCUACAUAUCUUCUGUCUGAUUGUUAGGGUUGAUGGUUGAGUCACUCUAAUCUGUAAUUGAUCUGAGUCUGAAUUUUCUUGCAAUUCUACUUAGAUUCAGUUCAUCACUAACUUCAAAUAUUUUGAGAAUAAGAUCAAGCAUGAUAAAAGAAAAAACCUUGUUAACCUUUAACUCUAUAUGUAUCAUAAUUCUUCUUUAAAAUUUGAAGACAAUAUAAAAAUAUUUAGAUAGACAAAUAUACAGGAAUUUGUAUCAGGCUGAAGGUAAAUAUUAAAACAUUGACUCUUUGGAGGACAAGACAUACAGAUAGAAAAAACAAAUAUAUGGGUAAUAAAAAAAUCUGUUGACUACUUCAAGCAAAAUAAUGAAAAUGUAUUACACUGUUCAUAGCAGAUGUCAAAGUAAAAUAUAUGACAAGGGCACAAAGAUUGUGUUGAGUAAACUGAAUUCAACUGGUA